ACUAACAAACGAUUAUCCAUUCCUAGACUAAACCUGUUUAUUAGAACAAUUCAAUUAUGUCUAAGUAGAAAGCUAUGGUCAGUAGUCAUUCAUUCUCACUAAAUCAUGUUUAUAUUUGAUCAAGAUAUAAAAAACAUUAAGAACAAUCGAAUUGAAUAAAAACUAGAUUGUCAUUCACAAUAGAUAGAGUUUCACAGCAACAUGGUUCAAUUAGGAUUACAAAGAAUCAUCUCAGACCUAAUCUCUAAGAGAUUUAGCUACUCAUAAUUGAGUUUACAAAUAGCAUAAUCAAUAGUGGAAUCAAAACAUACAUGAACUGAUAGAAGGUUGAAGAAAUCGCCCUCCUAGCCGUCUUUAGGUCUCAAAAUCGCACUUUGCUCUCUCCAAUUUGUAACCCUUGUUUUCAGAAUAGUCUUCAGCUUAAAUAGGCAAGAACUGCUCCUAAAAUCGUGGCACGAUUUAAGUAAAUCGUGACACGUUUCUGCUUGUGUAACAAACCACCAAAAUUAGGGUUUCCAUAAUCGUGUCACGUUUUUGCCAUCGUAACACGUUUUCACCAAUGUCGAAUGCAAGUUUCUUUAAAACUCCAAAUCGUGACACGUUUUUUAGUUAUCGUGACAUGAUUCCCUUUCUUCAGUUUCUUCGAUUUUUCUUGCUGCUUAAGCUUGCUUUUGAACUCAACAAUAUCAUAAAAAGACUCUAAAAAUAGCGAAUGACUGACUGUCAUCACUUCACAAUAUGUUUUUCUGACUUAAAAGGAUUCUGAAUUUGUUUUAUAAUUUUCAUGAUAGUAGAAUUUUGUGUAUGGAGUUAAUCAAAUGGAGCUGCAAGAAAUGUAAGAGUUUGUUGUAUUCUAAGUUGGAGACCUACGUCUUCAGAAGGAGUACCUCUAACAUCUCCUGCUACUAUUUUUCAAGAUGAAAGAGCAGAGAUGAUGUUGGUAUUGUUCUUCUCUCAAGGUCUAAUAACAUUGUGAAUGAUACAUUCAACAUAUAUCAAGUGCUAAUUGCCAACUGAAGCACUGGUUUAUCCUUAGCAUAUUUAUAUAGCUAUGGAGAAGUCAGAAAUUUCGGAUUGAUUUGACAAAAAAAAUCCAAAACAGUUUUUUAUUCUCAUUAUUCAAUAAAAUGAAACUGCACCUAAUUUUUUAUUUUACCUUUGUAUUUUAAAAUCUUUCAAUAGAAAAAAUAAUUAUAACAUUAUAUUCACUGAUCAAAAUGUUCUAAGUAGCUAAUUUCAGAAAAUUAG
Molecule: long non-coding RNA, 1248 nt
Filed under: Medicago truncatula (barrel medic)
Lineage: Eukaryota; Viridiplantae; Streptophyta; Magnoliopsida; Fabales; Fabaceae
Description: long non-coding RNA (MTRU_LNC002570)
Source: RNAcentral